CACGUAGGCACCAAGCGUUGUCCGGAUUUAUUGGGCGUAAAGAGCUCGUAGGCGGUUCAGUAAGUCGGGUGUGAAAACUCUGGGCUUAACCCGGAGAGGCCACUCGAUACUGCUGAACUUGAGUACGGUAGGGGAGUGGGGAAUUCCUGGUGUAGCGGUGAAAUGCGCAGAUAUCAGGAGGAACACCGGUGGCGAAGGCGCCACUCUGGGCCGAAACUGACGCUGAGGAGCGAAAGCGUGGGUAGCAAACAGG
This 253-nucleotide ribosomal RNA is filed under the name uncultured bacterium. RNAcentral's name for it is "partial 16S ribosomal RNA". It matches the Rfam family "Bacterial small subunit ribosomal RNA", at positions 524 to 776 of the family's 1533-position model. The record is from RNAcentral. RNAcentral also lists the same sequence under 1 other name.